This is an RNA transcript of Sapajus apella (tufted capuchin), 1370 nucleotides long. It is a transcript of the gene named WAS protein family homolog 2-like, with no coding region annotated. The transcript has 9 exons. The record is from RefSeq and is a predicted model, not a curated record. NCBI's taxonomy places the organism in Eukaryota, Metazoa, Chordata, Mammalia, Primates, Cebidae.
CUUAAGAGACUUUACCUGAGGGCUGGUCUAGCAGGUCUACUGUUAGGAGCAAGAGGUGUGCAGGGGGUAGGGAGCAGUCCCAGCUUCUGUGAUCUUCUCCAUGGCAGGAUCUCCCAGUGGGUAGAGCAGAGCCAGAGCCAGGUGCAGGCCAUUGAGGAGAAGGUCUCCUUGGCCCAGGCCAAGAUUGAGAAGAUCAAGGGCAGCAAGAAGGCCAUCAAGGUGUUCUCCAGUGCCAAGUACCCUGUUCAGAGCACCUGAAGGAAUAUGGCUCCAUCUUCACAGGUGUCCAGGACCCUGGCCUGCAGAGACGACCCCACCACAGGAUCCAGAGCAAGCCUGGCAGGCCCUGCAGGUCUGCUGCCUCCCAGGAGAAGCUGAAGUACUUUCCUAUGUGCAUGAGUGCCAAGCUGGAGCCUGAGGAUGAUGCAGAGGAGAGGCUUGGGGUCUUCCAGCUCUGUCAGCUCCUUGUUGCUCUUCAACACCACCAAGAUCUUGUACAAGUAGUGUGUCUUCCUGGACUCCCUGGCUGGUGCUGUAACAAAGACCCAUGUGAUGCUGGGGGUGGAGACAGAGGAGAAGCUGUUUGAUGCCCCCUUCUCCAUCAGCAAGAGAGAGCAGCUGGAGCAGCAGGUUCCAGAGAACUACUACUAGGUGCCAGACCUGGGCCAAGUACCUGAGAUUGGUGUGCUAUCCUACUUGUCCGACCUGCCCGGCAUUGCCAACGACCCCAUGUACAGUGCUGACUUGGGCCCCAGCAUUGUCCCCUCUGCCCCUGUCACUAUUCCAGAACUGUCCACCUUCCACACUGAGGUAGCCGAGCCUCUCAAUCCAGAUGAGCUGGAAGAUGGGGUGUUAACAGCACCCCCAUCACCUCCCCCAGCUCCUGAGGUGCUGGCCAGUGCACCCCCCACUCCCUCAGCCGUGGCCCCUGUAGGCCCAGGCACCAGGCAGGACGGCGGCAGCAGCAGUGUGGCUCCUUCAGUUGAGGGAGUUCUCAGGGAAGUGGUUGACCCCUCUGAGGGCCAGGCCACUCUGCUAGAGUCCAUCCACCAAGGGGCGGGGGCAUCGGCAAGGCCAAGUUGCACAGCGUGAAGGAGCAAAAGCUGGAGAAGCAGCAGCAGAAGGAGCAGGAGCAAGUGAGAGCCACGAACCAAGGUGGGGACCUGAUGUCGGAUCUCUUCAACAAGCUGAUAAUGAGGUGCAAGGGCAUCUCUGGGAAAGGACCUGGGGCUGGUGAGGGACCUGGAGGAGCCUUUGCCCACGUGUCAGACUCCGUCCCUCCUCUGCCGCCACCACAUGAGCCACAGGCAGAGGAGGAUGAGGACGACUGGGAAUCCUAGACUUGGGCCACUGCUCCGACAUGGACACAG